This 253-nucleotide ribosomal RNA is filed under the name uncultured bacterium. RNAcentral describes it as "partial 16S ribosomal RNA". It matches the Rfam family "Bacterial small subunit ribosomal RNA", at positions 524 to 776 of the family's 1533-position model. The record is from RNAcentral.
UACGUAGGGUGCGAGCGUUAAUCGGAAUUACUGGGCGUAAAGCGUGCGCAGGCGGUUUUGUAAGCCAGAUGUGAAAUCCCCGGGCUUAACCUGGGAAUGGCAUUUGGGACUGCAAGGCUGGAGUGCGGCAGAGGAGACUGGAAUUCCUGGUGUAGUGGUGAAAUGCGCAGAUAUCAGGAAGAACACCCGUGGCGAAGGCGGCUCUCUGGGACGGUACUGACGCUGAGACGCGAAAGCGUGGGGAGCGAACAGG